Molecule: ribosomal RNA, 468 nt
Filed under: uncultured bacterium
Lineage: Bacteria
Description: partial 16S ribosomal RNA
Rfam family: Bacterial small subunit ribosomal RNA
Source: RNAcentral
GACGAACGCUGGCGGCGUGCUUAACACAUGCAAGUCGAACGGAAAGGCCCUGCUUUUGUGGGGUGCUCGAGUGGCGAACGGGUGAGUAACACGUGAGUAACCUGCCCUUGACUUUGGGAUAACUUCAGGAAACUGGGGCUAAUACCGGAUAGGAGCUCCUGCUGCAUGGUGGGGGUUGGAAAGUUUCGGCGGUUGGGGAUGGACUCGCGGCUUAUCAGCUUGUUGGUGGGGUAGUGGCUGACCACGGCUUUGACGGGUAGCCGGCCUGAGAGGGUGACCGGCCACAUUGCGACUGAGAUACGGCCCAGACUCCUACGGGCGGCAGCAGUGGGGAAUAUUGCACAAUGGGCGGAAGCCUGAUGCAGCAACGCUGCGUGCGGGAUGACGGCCUUCGGGUUGUAAACCGCUUUCGCCUGUGACGAAGCGUGAGUGACGGUAAUGGGUAAAGAAGCACCGGCUAACUACGUG